AGAGUUUGAUCCUGGCUCAGAACGAACGCUGGCGGCAGGCCUAACACAUGCAAGUCGAGCGCACUUAUUUCCUUCGGGUUAUAGGCGAGCGGCGGACGGGUUAGUAACGCGUGGGAACGUACCCUUUACUACGGAAUAGCCUUUGGAAACGAAGAGUAAUACCGUAUACGCCCUUUGGGGGAAAGAUUUAUCGGUAAAGGAUCGGCCCGCGUUAGAUUAGAUAGUUGGUGGGGUAAUGGCCUACCAAGUCUACGAUCUAUAGCUGGUUUGAGAGGAUGAUCAGCAACACUGGGACUGAGACACGGCCCAGACUCCUACGGGAGGCAGCAGUGGGGAAUCUUAGACAAUGGGCGAAAGCCUGAUCUAGCCAUGCCGCGUGAGUGAAGAAGGCCCUAGGGUCGUAAAACUCUUUCGCCAGAGAUGAUAAUGACAGUAUCUGUAAAGAAACCCCGCUAACU
This 458-nucleotide ribosomal RNA is filed under the name uncultured bacterium. RNAcentral's name for it is "bacterial SSU rRNA". It matches the Rfam family "Bacterial small subunit ribosomal RNA", at positions 8 to 502 of the family's 1533-position model. The record is from RNAcentral.